AUGUUUUAUAACUAUAUAGUUAGCCCACUAACAUAUUUCUCUCAACAUGCACACAAGCCACCUCAUCAUGAAAACAUGCAUGGAAAAGACCCACCUCAAAAUGCAGAAAGGGGAAGAACAGCUGAAUUAAUUAAUUACAAUAAAUCAUAUGUGUUUUUAGUUUUAGUUCUCAUAUUAUUCAUCCAAAUAUUCAUGUUCAAAAUAAUCAAAUAUGAUGAAAGCAUAUUGCAACCAAAUUUCCCGCUGCAACGCGCGAUUUAUCAUCUAGUUGUAAUAGAGUGUGUCGCACUAUUAUGCUAG
RNAcentral lists this ribosomal RNA (300 nucleotides) under Triticum aestivum (bread wheat). Its description in RNAcentral is "partial small subunit ribosomal RNA". Lineage: Eukaryota; Viridiplantae; Streptophyta; Magnoliopsida; Poales; Poaceae. The record is from RNAcentral.